This 400-nucleotide ribosomal RNA is filed under the name uncultured bacterium. Its description in RNAcentral is "bacterial SSU rRNA". It matches the Rfam family "Bacterial small subunit ribosomal RNA", at positions 355 to 746 of the family's 1533-position model. The record is from RNAcentral.
UAGGGAAUAUUGCGCAAUGGGGGAAACCCUGACGCAGCAACGCCGCGUGAGUGAGGAAGGCCUUCGGGUUGUAAAGCUCUGUCCUUGGAGAAAAAUGGUAUGAGUGUGAAUAAUGCUUAUAAUUGAUGGUAUCCAAGAAGAAAGCACCGGCAAACUUCGUGCCAGCAGCCGCGGUAAUACGAAGGGUGCAAGCGUUGUUCGGAUUUAUUGGGCGUAAAGCGCAUGUAGGCGGAUUAGCAAGUCAGGUGUGAAAUCUCGGAGCUUAACUUCGAAACAGCGCUUGAAACUACUAUUCUAGAAUACUAAAGAGGGAAGGGGAAUUUCUCAUGUAGGGGUAAAAUCCGUAGAGAUGAGAAGGAACAUCAGAGGCGAAGGCGCCUUCCUGGUUAGUUAUUGACGC